RNAcentral lists this unclassified non-coding RNA (206 nucleotides) under uncultured Ascomycota. RNAcentral describes it as "sequence contains ITS1". Lineage: Eukaryota; Fungi; Ascomycota. The record is from RNAcentral.
CUGAGUCACGUGCUCAAACAACCCUUCUGUGGACCUGAAAUAAAACCGUUGCCUCGGCGGGCGGUCCCCCCAACCAAACCCCACGUGGUGGGUUAGGGGACCAGACAGUCCGGUACGCUUAAGGCGUCCGGCGCCAGCCGCUGGCCCAAAACAAUUAAACUCUAGUAACCUUUACCUUCUGAGUUUCAAUAUUUAAAAAUAAGUCA